RNAcentral lists this long non-coding RNA (206 nucleotides) under Physcomitrium patens. RNAcentral's name for it is "long non-coding RNA (PPAT_LNC010362)". Lineage: Eukaryota; Viridiplantae; Streptophyta; Bryopsida; Funariales; Funariaceae. The record is from RNAcentral.
AGGAGGCUGCCCGAGGCCUUAUUAGGGAUUAGGGAUACUCUUUCGAGGUCAUUUGAGAUUUGAAGGAAAAAUUCAGAAAUUUAAGGAUUUUGGCUAUGAUUUUGGUAUAAAUUUUGUGUGAUUUGGAGUUUAUAUGAAAGAGAUAUGGACACUCAAAGUUAAGGUGAUGAUUUUAUACCUAUUGUCAUUCUUUUGAACAUAAUGCA